AACGUAGGUUCCGAGCGUUAUCCGGAUUUACUGGGCGUAAAGCGUGUUCAGGCGGCUCAGCAAGUCGGGCAUGAAAUCUCUCGGCUCAACCGGGAGGGGCUGUCCGAAACUGCUGGGCUUGAGGGCAGUAGAGGGUGGUGGAAUUCCGGGUGUAGUGGUGAAAUGCGUAGAUAUCCGGAGGAACACCAGUGGCGAAAGCGGCCACCUGGACUGUACCUGACGCUCAAACACGAAAGCUAGGGGAGCGAAC
Molecule: ribosomal RNA, 250 nt
Filed under: uncultured bacterium
Lineage: Bacteria
Description: partial 16S ribosomal RNA
Rfam family: Bacterial small subunit ribosomal RNA
Source: RNAcentral